AAAAACAAAACAAAAAAGCAAACAGGUGAAAAAUGAUGAUUGUGGCUUCCUUGCUAACUGGGUUAGAGAAGUGAUCAAGUGUGAACCGGGACUUGAAUGAGAGGAGUGACUUAGCAUUUGGUGACUGUCCUUAACGAAGAACUGUGCGCUCCUGGGCGAAGAAACAAUGAUGGAGCAGGAAAUGACCCGGUUACAUCGGAGAGUGUCAGAGGUGGAGGCUGUGCUUAGUCAGAAGGAGGUGGAGCUGAAGGCCUCUGAGACUCAGAGAUCCCUCCUGGAGCAGGACCUUGCUACCUACAUCACAGAAUGCAGUAGCUUAAAGCGAAGUUUGGAGCAAGCACGGAUGGAGGUGUCCCAGGAGGAUGACAAAGCACUGCAGCUUCUCCAUGAUAUCAGAGAGCAGAGCCGGAAGCUCCAAGAAAUCAAAGAGCAGGAGUACCAGGCUCAAGUGGAAGAAAUGAGGUUGAUGAUGAAUCAGUUGGAAGAGGACCUUGUCUCAGCAAGAAGACGGAGUGAUCUCUAUGAAUCUGAGCUGAGAGAGUCUCGGCUUGCUGCUGAAGAAUUCAAGCGGAAAGCGACAGAAUGUCAGCAUAAACUGUUGAAGGCUAAGGAUCAAGGGAAGCCUGAAGUGGGAGAAUAUGUGAAACUGGAGAAGAUCAAUGCUGAGCAGCAGCUCAAAAUUCAGGAGCUCCAAGAGAAACUGGAGAAGGCUGUAAAAGCCAGCACGGAGGCCACUGAGCUGCUGCAGAAUAUCCGCCAGGCAAAGGAGCGAGCCGAGAGGGAGCUGGAGAAGCUGCAGAACCGAGAGGAUUCUUCUGAAGGCAUCAGAAAGAAGCUGGUGGAAGCUGAGGAACGCCGCCAUUCUCUGGAGAACAAGGUAAAGAGACUAGAGACCAUGGAGCGUAGAGAAAACAGACUGAAGGAUGACAUCCAGACAAAAUCCCAACAGAUCCAGCAGAUGGCUGAUAAAAUUCUGGAGCUCGAAGAGAAACAUCGGGAGGCCCAAGUCUCAGCCCAGCACCUAGAAGUGCACCUGAAACAGAAAGAGCAGCACUAUGAGGAAAAGAUUAAAGUGUUGGACAAUCAGAUAAAGAAAGACCUGGCCGACAAGGAGACGCUUGAGAACAUGAUGCAGAGACACGAAGAGGAGGCCCAUGAGAAGGGCAAAAUUCUCAGCGAACAGAAGGCGAUGAUCAAUGCUAUGGAUUCCAAGAUCAGAUCCCUGGAACAGAGGAUUGUGGAACUGUCUGAAGCCAAUAAACUUGCAGCAAAUAGCAGUCUUUUUACCCAAAGGAACAUGAAGGCCCAAGAAGAGAUGAUUUCUGAACUCAGGCAACAGAAAUUUUACCUGGAGACACAGGCUGGGAAGUUGGAGGCCCAGAACCGAAAGCUGGAGGAGCAGCUGGAGAAGAUCAGCCACCAAGACCACAGUGACAAGAAUCGGCUGCUGGAACUGGAAACAAGAUUGCGGGAGGUCAGUCUAGAGCACGAGGAGCAGAAACUGGAGCUCAAGCGCCAGCUCACAGAGCUACAGCUCUCCCUGCAGGAGCGCGAGUCACAGUUGACAGCCCUGCAGGCUGCACGGGCGGCCCUGGAGAGCCAGCUUCGCCAGGCGAAGACAGAGCUGGAAGAGACCACAGCAGAAGCCGAAGAGGAGAUCCAGGCGCUCACGGCACAUAGAGAUGAAAUCCAGCGCAAAUUUGAUGCUCUUCGUAACAGCUGUACUGUAAUCACAGACCUGGAGGAGCAGCUAAACCAGCUGACCGAGGACAACGCUGAACUCAACAACCAAAACUUCUACUUGUCCAAACAACUCGAUGAGGCUUCUGGCGCCAACGAUGAGAUUGUACAACUGCGAAGUGAAGUGGACCAUCUCCGCCGGGAGAUCACAGAACGAGAGAUGCAGCUUACCAGCCAGAAGCAAACGAUGGAGGCUCUGAAGACCACGUGCACCAUGCUGGAGGAACAGGUCAUGGAUUUGGAGGCCCUAAACGAUGAGCUGCUAGAAAAAGAGCGGCAGUGGGAGGCCUGGAGGAGUGUCCUGGGUGAUGAGAAAUCCCAGUUUGAGUGUCGGGUUCGAGAGCUGCAGAGGAUGCUGGACACCGAGAAACAGAGCAGGGCGAGAGCCGAUCAGCGGAUCACCGAGUCUCGCCAGGUGGUGGAGCUGGCAGUGAAGGAGCACAAGGCCGAGAUUCUCGCUCUGCAGCAGGCUCUCAAAGAGCAGAAGCUGAAGGCCGAGAGCCUCUCUGACAAGCUCAAUGACCUGGAGAAGAAGCACGCUAUGCUUGAAAUGAAUGCCCGAAGCUUACAGCAGAAGCUGGAGACUGAACGAGAGCUCAAACAGAGGCUUCUGGAAGAGCAAGCCAAAUUACAGCAGCAGAUGGACCUGCAGAAAAAUCACAUUUUCCGUCUGACUCAAGGACUGCAAGAAGCUCUAGAUCGGGCUGAUCUACUGAAGACAGAAAGAAGUGACCUGGAAUAUCAGCUGGAAAACAUUCAGGUUCUCUAUUCUCAUGAAAAGGUGAAAAUGGAAGGCACUAUUUCUCAACAAACCAAACUCAUUGAUUUUCUGCAAGCCAAAAUGGACCAACCUGCUAAAAAGAAAAAGGUUCCUCUGCAGUACAAUGAGCUGAAGCUGGCCCUGGAGAAGGAGAAAGCUCGCUGUGCAGAGCUAGAGGAAGCCCUUCAGAAGACCCGCAUCGAGCUCCGGUCCGCCCGGGAGGAAGCUGCCCACCGCAAAGCGACGGACCACCCACACCCAUCCACGCCAGCCACCGCGAGGCAGCAGAUCGCCAUGUCCGCCAUUGUGCGGUCGCCAGAGCACCAGCCCAGUGCCAUGAGCCUGCUGGCCCCGCCAUCCAGCCGCAGAAAGGAGUCUUCAACUCCAGAGGAAUUUAGUCGGCGUCUUAAGGAACGCAUGCAUCACAAUAUUCCUCACCGAUUCAACGUAGGACUGAACAUGCGAGCCACAAAGUGUGCUGUGUGUCUGGAUACCGUGCACUUUGGACGCCAGGCAUCCAAAUGUCUCGAAUGUCAGGUGAUGUGUCACCCCAAGUGCUCCACGUGCUUGCCAGCCACCUGCGGCUUGCCUGCUGAAUACGCCACACACUUCACCGAGGCCUUCUGCCGCGACAAAAUGAACUCCCCAGGUCUCCAGACCAAGGAGCCCAGCAGCAGCUUGCACCUGGAAGGGUGGAUGAAGGUGCCCAGGAAUAACAAACGAGGACAGCAAGGCUGGGACAGGAAGUACAUUGUCCUGGAGGGAUCAAAAGUCCUCAUUUACGACAAUGAAGCCAGAGAAGCUGGACAGAGGCCGGUGGAAGAAUUUGAGCUGUGCCUUCCCGACGGGGAUGUAUCUAUUCAUGGUGCCGUUGGUGCUUCCGAACUCGCAAAUACAGCCAAAGCAGAUGUCCCAUACAUACUGAAGAUGGAAUCUCACCCGCACACCACCUGCUGGCCCGGGAGAACCCUCUACUUGCUAGCUCCCAGCUUCCCUGACAAACAGCGCUGGGUCACCGCCUUAGAAUCAGUUGUCGCAGGUGGGAGAGUUUCUAGGGAAAAAGCAGAAGCCGAUGCUAAACUGCUUGGAAACUCCCUGCUGAAACUGGAAGGUGAUGACCGUCUAGACAUGAACUGCACAUUGCCCUUCAGUGACCAGGUGGUGUUGGUGGGCACCGAGGAAGGUCUCUACGCCCUGAAUGUCUUGAAAAACUCCCUAACCCAUGUCCCAGGAAUUGGAGCAGUCUUCCAAAUUUAUAUUAUCAAGGACCUGGAGAAGCUACUCAUGAUAGCAGGAGAAGAGCGGGCACUGUGUCUUGUGGACGUGAAGAAAGUGAAACAGUCCCUGGCGCAGUCCCACCUGCCCGCCCAGCCCGACAUCUCACCCAACAUUUUUGAAGCUGUCAAGGGCUGCCACUUGUUUGGGGCAGGCAAGAUUGAGAACGGGCUCUGCAUCUGUGCAGCCAUGCCCAGCAAAGUCGUCAUUCUCCGCUACAACGAAAACCUCAGCAAAUACUGCAUCCGGAAAGAGAUAGAGACCUCAGAGCCCUGCAGCUGUAUCCACUUCACCAAUUACAGUAUCCUCAUUGGAACCAAUAAAUUCUACGAAAUCGACAUGAAGCAGUACACGCUCGAGGAAUUCCUGGAUAAGAAUGACCAUUCCUUGGCACCUGCUGUGUUUGCCGCCUCUUCCAACAGCUUCCCUGUCUCGAUCGUGCAGGUGAACAGCGCAGGGCAGCGAGAGGAGUACUUGCUGUGUUUCCACGAAUUUGGAGUGUUCGUGGAUUCUUACGGAAGACGCAGCCGCACAGACGAUCUCAAGUGGAGUCGCUUACCUUUGGCCUUUGCCUACAGAGAACCCUAUCUGUUUGUGACCCACUUCAACUCACUCGAAGUAAUUGAGAUCCAGGCACGCUCCUCGGCAGGGACCCCUGCCCGAGCGUACCUGGACAUCCCGAACCCGCGCUACCUGGGCCCUGCCAUUUCCUCAGGAGCGAUUUACUUGGCGUCCUCAUACCAGGAUAAAUUAAGGGUCAUUUGCUGCAAGGGAAACCUCGUGAAGGAGUCCGGCACUGAACACCACCGAGGCCCGUCCACCUCCCGCAGCAGCCCCAACAAGCGAGGUCCGCCCACGUACAAUGAGCACAUCACCAAGCGCGUGGCCUCCAGCCCAGCGCCGCCCGAAGGCCCCAGCCACCCGCGAGAGCCAAGCACACCCCACCGCUACCGCGAGGGGCGGACCGAGCUGCGCAGGGACAAGUCUCCUGGCCGCCCCCUGGAGCGAGAGAAGUCCCCGGGCCGGAUGCUCAGCACGCGGAGAGAGCGGUCCCCCGGAAGGCUGUUUGAAGACAGCAGCAGGGGCCGGCUGCCUGCGGGAGCCGUGAGGACCCCGCUGUCCCAGGUGAACAAGGUCUGGGACCAGUCUUCAGUAUAAAUCUCAGCCAGAAAAACCAAC
This 4954-nucleotide small RNA is filed under the name Pongo abelii (Sumatran orangutan). Its description in RNAcentral is "processed transcript". The record is from RNAcentral. Lineage: Eukaryota; Metazoa; Chordata; Mammalia; Primates; Hominidae.